Molecule: ribosomal RNA, 1509 nt
Filed under: wastewater metagenome
Description: bacterial LSU rRNA
Rfam family: Bacterial large subunit ribosomal RNA
Source: RNAcentral
UGAGGGAAAGGUGAAAAGCACCCCGAUGAGGGGAGUGAAACAGUACCUGAAACCGGAUGCCUACAAGCAGUUGGAGCUCCCUUGAGGAGUGACAGCGUACCUCUUGUAUAAUGGGUCAACGACUUAAUAUGUCAUGCAAGCUUAAGCCGUUAGGUGGAGGCGCAGCGAAAGCGAGUCUGAAUAGGGCGAAUAGAGUAUGACGUAUUAGACCCGAAACCCGGUGAUCUAGGCAUGACCAGAAUGAAGGUGCGGUAACACGCACUGGAGGUUCGAACCGGUUAACGUUGAAAAGUUAUCGGAUGAGUUGUGUUUAGGGGUGAAAGGCCAAUCAAACCGGGAAAUAGCUGGUUCUCCGCGAAAACUAUUGAGGUAGUGCCUCAGAUGAUUACCGCACGGGGUAGAGCACUGGAUGGGCUAGGGGGUCGCGAGAUCUACCAAACCUAACCAAACUCCGAAUACGUGCGAGUACAGUCUGGGAGACAGACGGCGGGUGCUAAGGUCCGUCGUCGAGAGGGAAACAGCCCUGACCAACAGCUAAGGUCCCCAAAUCGUGUCUAAGUGGGAAAGCAUGUGGAAGUCCCAAAACAACCAGGAGGUUGGCUUAGAAGCAGCCAUCCUUUAAAGAAAGCGUAACAGCUCACUGGUCUAGAUAAGGACUUCUGCGGCGAAGAUGUAACGGGGCUCAAGACACGUACCGAAGCUUUGGGUGUGCAUUUAUGCACGCGGUAGCGGAGCGUUCCGUAAGCCUGUGAAGCGGUCUGGUAAUGGGCCGUGGAGGUAUCGGAAGUGCGAAUGUUGACAUGAGUAGCGAUAAACAGUGUGAGAUGCACUGUCGCCGAAAGCCUAAGGGUUCCUACGCAAGGCUAAUCCGCGUAGGGUGAGCCGGUCCCUAACACGAGCCCGAAGGGGGUAGUGGAUGGAAAUACGGUUAAUAUUCCGUAGCCUGGAGAUGUGUGACGGAUUCCUUAUAUUGUCUGGUCUUAUUGGAUUGAUCAGGCUUUGACGGGGUCCCAGGAAAUAGCCUCUCCGUAUAGACCGUACCCGAAACCGACACAGGUAGGCUGGUAGAGUAUACCAAGGCGCUUGAGAGAAGGGUGUUGAAGGAACUCGGCAAAUUGCCUCCGUACCUUCGGAAGAAGGAGGCCCGAUAUAAGCGCAAGCUCUUAUCGGGGGCACAGGCCAGGGGGUAGCGACUGUUUAACAAAAACACAGGGCUCUGCUAAGUCGGCUUCAAGACGACGUAUAGGGUCUGACGCCUGCCCGGUGCCUGAAGGUUAAGUGGAGGGGUGCAAGCUCCGAAAUGAAGCCCAGGUAAACGGCGGCCGUAACUAUAACGGUCCUAAGGUAGCGAAAUUCCUUGUCGGGUAAGUUCCGACCUGCACGAAUGGCGUAACGACUUCCCCGCUGUCUCCAACACCUGCUCAGCGAAAUUGAAUUCCCCGUGAAGAUGCGGGGUACCCGCGGUUAGACGGAAAGACCCCGUGCACCUUUACUGCAGCUUCAGAGUGG